Molecule: transfer RNA, 72 nt
Filed under: Marmota monax (woodchuck)
Lineage: Eukaryota; Metazoa; Chordata; Mammalia; Rodentia; Sciuridae
Description: tRNA.Ala
Source: RNAcentral
UGGGUUGUGGCUCAGCGGUAGAGCACUCAACUAGCGCAUGCGAGCCUCUGGGUUUGAUCCUCAGCACCGCAU